Molecule: ribosomal RNA, 464 nt
Filed under: uncultured bacterium
Lineage: Bacteria
Description: bacterial SSU rRNA
Rfam family: Bacterial small subunit ribosomal RNA
Source: RNAcentral
UCCAGACUCCUACGGGAGGCAGCAGUGAGGAAUAUUGGUCAAUGGCCGGGAGGCUGAACCAGCCAAGUCGCGUGAGGGAAGACGGCCCUACGGGUUGUAAACCUCUUUUGUCAGGGAGCAAGGUGCAGGUCGGGACCUGCUGUGAGAGUACCUGAAGAAAAAGCAUCGGCUAACUCCGUGCCGGCAGCCGCGGUAAUACGGAGGAUGCGAGCGUUAUCCGGAUUUAUUGGGUUUAAAGGGUGCGCAGGCGGAGGCACAAGUCAGGGGUAAAAUCGCGGGGCUCAACCCCGCUCCGCCGUUGAAACUGGGGAUCUAGAGUGUGCGAGAGGUAUGCGGAAUGCGUGGUGUAGCGGUGAAAUGCAUAGAUAUCACGCAGAACCCCGAUUGCGAAGGCAGCAUACCGGUGCACAACUGACGCUCAGGCACGAAAGCGUGGGUAUCGAACAGGAUUAGAUACCCCAGUA